AUGGACGGAAGUCUGACCGAGCAACGCCGCGUGAGUGAAGAAGGUUUUCGGAUCGUAAAGCUCUGUUGUAAGAGAAGAACGAGUGUGAGAGUGGAAAGUUCACACUGUGACGGUAUCUUACCAGAAAGGGACGGCUAACUACGUGCCAGCAGCCGCGGUAAUACGUAGGUCCCGAGCGUUGUCCGGAUUUAUUGGGCGUAAAGCGAGCGCAGGCGGUUAGAUAAGUCUGAAGUUAAAGGCUGUGGCUUAACCAUAGUACGCUUUGGAAACUGUUUAACUUGAGUGCAAGAGGGGAGAGUGGAAUUCCAUGUGUAGCGGUGAAAUGCGUAGAUAUAUGGAGGAACACCGGUGGCGAAAGCGGCUCUCUGGCUUGUAACUGACGCUGAGGCUCGAAAGCGUGGGGAGCAAACAGGAUUAGAUACCCUGGUAGUCCACGCCGUAAACGAUGAGUGCUAGGUGUUAGACCCUUUCCGGGGUUUAGUGCCGCAGCUAACGCAUUAAGCACUCCGCCUGGG
This 515-nucleotide ribosomal RNA is filed under the name Streptococcus oralis. RNAcentral's name for it is "bacterial SSU rRNA". It matches the Rfam family "Bacterial small subunit ribosomal RNA", at positions 371 to 877 of the family's 1533-position model. Lineage: Bacteria; Bacillati; Bacillota; Bacilli; Lactobacillales; Streptococcaceae. The record is from RNAcentral.